Molecule: ribosomal RNA, 1090 nt
Filed under: uncultured Chloroflexota bacterium
Lineage: Bacteria; Bacillati; Chloroflexota
Description: bacterial SSU rRNA
Rfam family: Bacterial small subunit ribosomal RNA
Source: RNAcentral
GUCUGAGGCAGCAACGCCGCGUGAGCGAUGAAGGCCUUCGGGUUGUAAAGCUCUUUUCUGGGGGACGAGGAAGGACGGUACCUCGGGAAUAAGUCACGGCUAACUACGUGCCAGCAGCCGCGGUAAUACGUAGGUGGCGAGCGUUAUCCGGAUUUACUGGGCGUAAAGCGCGUGUAGGCGGUUUCGUAAGUCGGAUGUGAAAGCUCCUGGCUCAACUGGGAGAGGCCAUUCGAUACUGCGGGACUUGAGGACGGGAGAGGGACGUGGAAUUCCCGGUGUAGUGGUGGAAUGCGUAGAUAUCGGGAGGAACACCAGUGGCGAAGGCGACGUCCUGGCCCGCACCUGACGCUAAGACGCGAAAGCGUGGGUAGCGAACGGGAUUAGAUACCCCGGUAGUCCACGCUGUAAACGGUGGAUACUAGGUGUUGGUGGCUAUCGUCAUCAGUGCCGUAGCUAACGCGUUAAGUAUCCCGCCUGGGGACUACGACCGCAAGGUUAAAACUCAAAGGAAUUGACGGGGGCCCGCACAAGCAGCGGAGCGUGUGGUUUAAUUCGAGGCAACACGAAGAACCUUACCUGGGUUUGACAUGUACGUAGUAGUGAAGUGAAAACGGAACGAUACUUCGGGAAGCGUACACAGGUGCUGCAUGGCUGUCGUCAGCUCGUGCCGUGAGGUGUUCGGUUAAGUCCGGUAACGAGCGCAACCCUCGCUGUUAGUUACAUGUGUCUAACGGGACUGCCGGUUUAAUGCCGGAGGAAGGUGGGGAUGACGUCAAGUCAGCAUGGCCUUUAUAUCCAGGGCUACACACACGCUACAAUGGCCGGUACAAUGGGUUGCCAAACCGCGAGGUGGAGCUAAUCCUCUAAAGCCGGUCUCAGUUCGGAUUGUAGGCUGUAACUCGCCUGCAUGAAGGUGGAGUUGCUAGUAACCGCAGGUCAGCUAUACUGCGGUGAAUACGUUCCCGGGCCUUGUACACACCGCCCGUCACGUCAUGGGAGCUGGUAACACCUGAAGCCGGUGGGCUAACCGUAAGGAGGCAGCCGUCGAAGGUGGGACUGGUGACUGGGACGAAGUCGUAACAAGGUAACC